CGUCCUAAGGACCUCACUGCCACCGUCCAAGCUCGCUUGGCCCCGGCAGAUGAACCUUAGGAUUAAAGGGUGGGCUCAGUUCCGCGCACACUGUGUCUCACCUAAAAAAUCCAAUGCGCAGGCUGGAAGGUGUAGAGACCUUCCCCGGAUCUUCGCUCGCGAAGACUGGCCAUUAUAAAAAGCUGCUGAAAGUGAAUUCUGUCUUUCCUGUCCCUUUUGGUACUGGCAGGAAGCCACAGCCUGGUUGUGGCUCUACAGACAAAUAGUAUGGAAGCCACUGUUACUCAUGUAGGACGUCUCAAUCUUCGGAGACUUUACAGAAUUCUGCAGGAGCAGCUUCAAAGGAACCCUCUCACACAAUAACCUGCCUGCUAACAAAAGCUAUUGUCUGUCUUUUCAAGUUAUUUUUUUUCUUUUAAAUGUGAUGGAUGACGUUCGUAAAUGUUGAGAAAGGUGUGAUGUUUCUUUUAAGACCUGAUGCAAAACUAAGUUAGGACAGUGGUCUGGGAAAUUUCUUCCUGUAUGAUGAACAUGUGGAGAAGAGUUGGCUGCAGAAGGAAAUACUUACUCUGAAUUCAGAGUAUUCUUUUCAAAAAUAUAACUAAUGUGCUGACAAAUUUAAACCCUUCUGAAACAGUAACAAAAAUUCUCAGAUGUAAUUCAUUUAAUAGCUUAAUUUAUUAAACACAUUAUGUAAAAUCUA
Molecule: long non-coding RNA, 703 nt
Organism: Myiozetetes cayanensis
Lineage: Eukaryota; Metazoa; Chordata; Aves; Passeriformes; Tyrannidae
Exons: 2
Source: RefSeq, a predicted model, not a curated record